GUGGGGAAUAUUGGACAAUGGGCGAAAGCCUGAUCCAGCCAUGCCGCGUGUGUGAAGAAGGUCUUCGGAUUGUAAAGCACUUUAAGUUGGGAGGAAGGGUAGUAACCUAAUACGUUGCUACUUUGACGUUACCGACAGAAUAAGCACCGGCUAACUUCGUGCCAGCAGCCGCGGUAAUACGAAGGGUGCAAGCGUUAAUCGGAAUUACUGGGCGUAAAGCGCGCGUAGGUGGUUCAGUAAGUUGGAAGUGAAAUCCCCGGGCUCAACCUGGGAACUGCUUUCAAAACUGCUGAGCUAGAGUACGGUAGAGGGUGGUGGAAUUUCCUGUGUAGCGGUGAAAUGCGUAGAUAUAGGAAGGAACACCAGUGGCGAAGGCGACCACCUGGACUGAUACUGACACUGAGGUGCGAAAGCGUGGGGAGCAAACAGGAUUAGAACCCUUGUAGUCC
Molecule: ribosomal RNA, 449 nt
Filed under: uncultured bacterium
Lineage: Bacteria
Description: partial 16S ribosomal RNA
Rfam family: Bacterial small subunit ribosomal RNA
Source: RNAcentral